CAGUAGUCACGAGUUUGAUCCUGGCUCAGAACGAACGCUGGCGGCAUGCCUAACACAUGCAAGUCGAACGAGACCUUCGGGUCUAGUGGCGCACGGGUGCGUAACGCGUGGGAACCUGCCUUAGGUUCGGAAUAACUCAGAGAAAUUUGAGCUAAUACCGGAUGAUGUCUUCGGACCAAAGAUUUAUCGCCUUUAGAUGGGCCCGCGUAAGAUUAGCUAGUUGUGGGGUAAAGGCCUACCAAGGCGACGAUCUUUAGCUGGUCUGAGAGGAUGAUCAGCCACACUGGGACUGAGACACGGCCCAGACUCCUACGGGAGGCAGCAGUGGGGAAUAUUGGACAAUGGGCGAAAGCCUGAUCCAGCAAUGCCGCGUGAGUGAUGAAGGCCUUAGGGUUGUAAAGCUCUUUUACCCGAGAUGAUAAUGACAGUAUCGGGAGAAUAAGCUCCGGCUAACUCCGUG
This 460-nucleotide ribosomal RNA is filed under the name uncultured bacterium. RNAcentral's name for it is "bacterial SSU rRNA". It matches the Rfam family "Bacterial small subunit ribosomal RNA", at positions 1 to 507 of the family's 1533-position model. The record is from RNAcentral.